CCUGCGGAAGGAUCAUUAGUGAAUAUAGGACGUCCAACUUAACUUGGAGUCCGAACUCUCACUUUCUAACCCUGUGCAUUUGUUUGGGAUAGUAACUCUCGCAAGAGGGCGAACUCCUAUUCACUUAUAAACACAAAGUCUAUGAAUGUAUUAAAUUUUAUAACAAAAUAAAACUUUCAACAACGGAUCUCUUGGCUCUCGCAUCGAUGAAGAACGCAGCGAAAUGCGAUAAGUAAUGUGAAUUGCAGAAUUCAGUGAAUCAUCGAAUCUUUGAACGCACCUUGCGCUCCAUGGUAUUCCGUGGAGCAUGCCUGUUUGAGUGUCAUGAAUACUUCAACCCUCCUCUUUCUUAAUGAUUGAAGAGGUGUUUGGUUUCUGAGCGCUGCUGGCCUUUAGGGUCUAGCUCGUUCGUAAUGCAUUAGCAUCCGCAAUCGAACUUCGGAUUGACUUGGCGUAAUAGACUAUUCGCUGAGGAAUUCUAGUCUUCGGACUAGAGCCGGGUUGGGUUAAAGGAAGCUUCUAAUCAGAAUGUCUACAUUUUAAGAUUAGAUCUCAAAUCAGGUAGGACUACCCGCUGAACUUAAGCAUA
This 589-nucleotide ribosomal RNA is filed under the name Rhodotorula mucilaginosa. RNAcentral's name for it is "eukaryotic LSU rRNA". The stretch from base 172 to 325 matches the Rfam family "5.8S ribosomal RNA". Lineage: Eukaryota; Fungi; Basidiomycota; Microbotryomycetes; Sporidiobolales; Sporidiobolaceae. The record is from RNAcentral.